Molecule: non-coding RNA, 26 nt
Filed under: Homo sapiens (human)
Lineage: Eukaryota; Metazoa; Chordata; Mammalia; Primates; Hominidae
Source: RNAcentral
UGAGGGUGGGGCAGAAACACGUGGAC